RNAcentral lists this ribosomal RNA (450 nucleotides) under uncultured bacterium. Its description in RNAcentral is "bacterial SSU rRNA". It matches the Rfam family "Bacterial small subunit ribosomal RNA", at positions 29 to 524 of the family's 1533-position model. The record is from RNAcentral.
AAUGAACGCUGGCGGCAUGCCUAACACAUGCAAGUCGAACGAGACCUUCGGGUCUAGUGGCGCACGGGUGCGUAACGCGUGGGAAUCUGCCCUUGGGUUCGGAAUAACAGUUAGAAAUGACUGCUAAUACCGAAUGAUGUCGUAAGACCAAAGAUUUAUCGCCCAGGGAUGAGCCCGCGUAGGAUUAGCUAGUUGGUGUGGUAAAAGCGCACCAAGGCGACGAUCCUUAGCNGGGUCUGAGAGGAUGAUCAGCCACACUGGGACUGAGACACGGCCCAGACUCCUACGGGAGGCAGCAGUGGGGAAUAUUGGACAAUGGGCGAAAGCCUGAUCCAGCAAUGCCGCGUGAGUGAUGAAGGCCUUAGGGUUGUAAAGCUCUUUUACCCGGGAUGAUAAUGACAGUACCGGAGAAUAAGCUCCGGCUAACUCCGUGCCAGCAGCCGCAGUAAU